Molecule: long non-coding RNA, 25936 nt
Filed under: Vitis vinifera (wine grape)
Lineage: Eukaryota; Viridiplantae; Streptophyta; Magnoliopsida; Vitales; Vitaceae
Description: long non-coding RNA (VVIN_LNC001674)
Source: RNAcentral
UCCGACUUCGUAUGACUUUCUCCAAUGGUACUAUGAACACAUAAGUCAAACUUUGAAAGAGGAUCUUGUUCAUCAUAGUUUAACUCCAAAAUAGUUGAACCUAAUAAAGUACCAUAGGAUGAAGUUUUUUGCCCCAACUUAGACUUUGAUUGGUACUCAGAAAGCAACUCAUAACACAUUCCACAUAUUUUUUCUAUCUCAUUUGAAGCUUCAGACCCAUACAUUAGUGGAAAGUAAAACUCUAAAAUCUUUAUUAUAUCUUAGGUCAAAUAUAGUUGUUAUUGCCAUCAUAAUACGACACCCACUCCAAUACUUGUCAAACUUUUGCAAUAUACUUGAUGUCAUCGUUUUCACAACAUCAUUUGAGCAAAUAAACCAAUCAUACAAUGUCUCUUUGAUCUCACACACUUUGAUGAAGAAAGUAUUUGCAGUGGGAUAAUUUCAUCCUAAGAACAACUUUGUUAUGUUGUAAAACAAUUUCAAUCUUCCACAUAUUUCCUUUGUCAUAUUUCAUUCUUCCUCUGAUGGCACAACCAUGUAGCAUAUUUCACGUUGCUUCAAACAUGGGAACACAUCUUUAUAUGUUAUAGCAAUUGAUAACAUCAAGUAUGUGGAAUUCCAUCGUGUCUUACAAUCAAGACUUAACUUCUUAUUGCAUAGAAUACGCAAUUGGAAAGUUGCAUCUUCAAACUUUUCCAUUCUUGAUGGGGUUGCUAACCAAUAUGCAAAACUCUCACGAAUUUUUUCAAUUUCUACUUCAAUGACAUCCAAACCUUCCUUAGCAAUUAAGUUCAACACAUGUGUCGCACAUCGCAUGUGAAAAAAAUUUCCACUCAAUAAGAGUGAAUGCUCAAAGAUAAUUUUUCCACCAAGAUAUUGAUCAUUCCGUAAUUACUUGAGUAAUUAUCCACAGUGACUAUAGAUACUUCUCUAUCCAUAUUCCAAUCCAACAAGAAAUCCAUUAAUACAUCUGAAAGAACUUCUUUUGUGUGUGGAAGAGGUACAUAAACAAACCUACAUCAAGAAAAAAAAACAUAUCAUUAACACAAACAAUAUCAUUAAAUGAUCAAAUAAAAAAACAUUUUGGAAGUUAAAAAAAUAACAUAACUAACCUUACAAUAUGAUGUUGCAAUAACCAAGACUCAUCAAUGUAAUGUACAGUGAUAGUCAUGUAGCCUUUCUUUUGAUUUGAUGUCCACAUAUCAGUUGUGACAGCAACUCUACUUUGAAGUUUCUCUAAGUAGCUAAUCAUCUUAUCUUUCUCAACCUCAUAAAUCUUCAUUAUAUCACUUUUAAUCGUAUUGCGGGAAACCAUCUUAAACAAGGGUUGGAGGCUAGUAGCAAAAUCUCUAAACCCCACAUGGUCAACGAUUGAAAGUGGGUACUCAUGCAAUAUAAUUGCAUGUGCAAGCUUCUCUCUUGAGAUUUCUUUAUCAAAGGUAAAACCACCAAUUUGAACUUUUCCAUGACCUUUUCUCUCUACUACCAAUAAUUGUUGCCUAAUAUCAACAUUUCUUCAUUUCAUGCACCUAUCUAUGUGUACAUGUAAAUGUUUUGUCCCAUUCUUGCUAUUGGCCUUGAGUUUUCCUUUAUAGUGCUUACAAAUAGCAUAAUCUUGUCCAUCUUCUAUGAUUUUAUCAAAAUCAUUCCAAACAACCGAAGUCAACUUUCUUCUUUUAGAUCCCAAUGUUCCAUCAGUAGUUGAAGUACUGCCUGUAAUUGGAGUUAAACCCACGCUUGGCAUGGAAAAGUUUUCCCUUUCUUCUGAUGUCAUUUUUCUUAAUAUGAAAUAAAGUCUAUAAGUAAAACAUUCAAACCCAAAUUAAUAACACUUCAUUACCACAUAUUAAUUAGAUGGAUUUCAAAGCUCUUUUCCUAGUGUUGCCAAAAAAAAAAAAAAAACAAUGAGUUACACAGGCACUCGAACUGAGCACCUUGUGUAUGUUAUUUCUUUACUAUUGGGGUUUGGGACUUGACAACUACUAACUAGUUAGUUCCACAUGAGCAACAUGUUGAAAUCAGAGAAAAAAAAUUAGGAAAAAUACCACACCUUGUUGUCACCAGAUUACAGAUCUACAGUACGUUUGGACUCUCCAAAUUUUCUGAUUAAGUUGCAAUUACAAUGAUCCAAAUAAGAAGGACAAUCCCAAAUAUCUCAUCCAAAUCUCUCAUUUUUUUCCCUAGAAACUGACAAAGAAACACCCUAAACCAAACAAAUUAACAUUCAAAAAAAAUAUCAAACGUUCAAGACACAAAAAAUAAAACAAAUAAAUACAAAUCAACAAAGAAUCAUACCGGUUUGUAGAUACAUGAAGAUAUGAUUCCUAUGGAGAAAAUGGCAGUAGCGUAAACUGAUGAGACUGCUAGUAGUUGUGAAUAUGAGAUAAACAAGGAUGAAUCGAGAGUAGAUGGAGGAAAUGAGAUUAUUGAAUGGAUUUUCAAAUGGAUUAGCUGAUGGAUUUCUGCAUUAAGUGGGAAGAACAACCCUAGCGUCAAGAGGAACGAAAACCCUAAAACGAGAUAAGAAGACUUGAAAUGAUAAGAUGAAGCAAAUAUUUAUAGUUGGGGGGUAAAGUUGUAAUUUCAUAUUCGGGGCAGGGUGGGGCAGGUCAAAUUAUUACUAAACCCGAUCCCGCCUCGAACCCGAUUUGGGUUAAAAAAAAAAAAAACUGAACCCGGCCCAUCCUUGAUUUCUAUGUUCCCAUACCCAUUCUAAUAAGGGCAGGUGACCAGAAAAACCAGCAAAAUUGUCAUUCCUAAUGAUGAAUGACAAAGAACUCAGAAAAAAUAAAUGAAAAAAGAUGGAGAAAAAAUAAAAAAUACUCAAGGAAUCAUAAGAAAAAAAAACUAGUUUAUGCAUUAAGCUUUUGGAUAACAGAGGGAUUAGAUUAAGAGUCCGUUUGGCAGUGAUUUUUAAAAGUGUUUUUACCCUUAAAAACACUUUUAAGUGUUUUUGGGAUGAAAAUAAAGUGUUUGGCAAAUUUUAAAAAACACUUUUAAAAAUUUGGAAAAACACUUGAAGUGAUUUUUAGAGAAUCCCUUGACAAGUGUUUUUUUUUUAAAUUUUCCAAAAAUGCCCCCCCCCCCCGUGAUAAAUCAAUUAGAAAAAUCUUUUUUCUUUUUUAGAAAUUAAUAGGUGGUCAUAUAUUGUUUUACUUUUAAAAUUAUCUUUUAUUCAAUCUUUUUUUUUUUAUUGAUUUAGAUGUUUUUUGUAAAUAUUUUUUAAAAUUUUAGUAUAGUGAUAAAAAAUUAUUAUUUUUAAUUAGAAAAGUCUUUUUUUUUUUUAGAAAUUAAUAGGUAAUCAUAUAUUGUUUUAAUUUUGUUUUAAUUUUAAAAUUAUCUUUUAUUCAAUAUUAUUUUUUUAGUGAUUUAGAUGUUUUUUCAUUAAUAAAAAGUUUUUUUUGUUUAUCAUACCAUUUUUUUUAAUUAAAAUUGUAUGUCCUUUUAGGUAAUUUAUUAAUAUUAAAAGUGUUUUUAUAUUUAUACAAUAUAUUAUCAAAAACACUUUAGAAUCAUUUUUUCUGAUUAUCAUAAAAGUGUUUUUCACAUAAACACUAUAGCAGAAAACACUUCAAAUAAAAACACUUCCACUAGAAUCACUAUCAAACGGGCUCUAAAUCUUGAAAAGUAACAGUAAAAGAGGAACAAUUCACAUAAAAGAAGUAAAAAUUAUAAAUAAAAAAAAUUAAUAAUAAUAAUAAUAUAAAAAAAAAUCAUCUUAUUCCAAUAACAAAUUCUCAAAAACUAUUUUUAGUAUAAAAAACUAAUCAAACAAAUUUUUAAAAUUUAAAAACUAUUUUCUAUUUUCUCUUCUAAAAAGAAAAAAUUAUUUUAAAAAUAGUUAUUAGACAAAGCCUAACUCUUUCUCUUUUUUUAUCAUAAAAAAAUACAAAUAAAAAUUAAAUAAAAUGUUUUCACACACGUUCAUUCUAAGUAACAUAUUAAACCCGUUUUCAAUUUCACGAGUCGGAGAGUUUAAAAUCAAAAGUAAAAAUUAUUUUUUUACUACCACGUUUUAAGUAUUCUCAUUUUUUUAAAAUAGAAGCUAACGACCGACGCGGGCCUACUUGUACCUUAAAAACCUAUAUAGUUUGGAGCAUAUGAUAUGAGAUGUUCACAAGUUGUUUUUACUUUUUAUAGUGGAGGAAGAUUCCUUCAAAAAGAAAACGUACUCCUUUUUACUUCAAACUUGUAACCACUUGGACUAGUGCAUGCACUUGCUUUAACUUACCCUAUCAAAAUCCAAUUUUAAAUAUUCAGUAGCUUAACUUAUCAUUAGAUCAAACAAAGUUGUCAUUAAUUGAAAAUUUAAAAAUUAAAAAUUAAAAAAUAGAUAAAUAAAAGAGAAAAAAAAAAUCCUAUUGAAGUCUUAGUCAUUAGAUCAACAUAUUUCUACAGAAAAGAGAAAAGUCUUACAAGUUUGACUACAAAAAUUUUAAUAAGAUUUUUACUUUUAUUUCUAUUUUUUAAAAGAGAUUUAAAUUUAGGAAGCCGAAUAAAUUAAAAACGAUAAUACGAGUAAAUUUCUUUCACAAUAACAAGAUUCAUAAUACAAAUGAAAUUUGGUUGUGGUCUCAAAUACAACUCUAUUAAUAAAUAAUUAGCUUGCGUGGCUCAUGAGUGCGCACAACCUUAUCCACAAAUAUGGCUAAUUGGAUCAUAGGUAUCACGUGCGUUUGUACAACCAUCUUUGAAAUGUAAAUGGGAAUAAUGUCAAUGUACCUUCUCUAUUAAAAAUAUUAAAUAUCCAACUUGUAUGAUUUUAAACAAACACAUGCCCUUAUACAAACCUAUAUUUGAAAAACCGAAAUCCCUUGUGCCAAACCACAGCUCUCUCUCUCUAGGAGAAGAAUGGAAAUUGGCCAAGUCAUCGUGACCCAUCUGCUUAAAUCACAUCAUACAGAGUCAUGCUUACUAGUCUUCGAAUUGUUAACAUUAACCACAAUGUUUUAAGUUAGAUUUAAUUUCCCAUUUGACUGUAAUUAAGUUACAUCAACAUUGCAUGGAACAAUUCAAUGGAUUUGAAAGGACUAAUCAAUUGGCCUAAUCCUUCAAAAAGCAAACCUAAUCCUUUUUUCUUUAAACAAGUAACCACUUGGACUAAUACACUCAUUUGCUUUCAACUUAUCAUGAUAAAAUUCAAUUUUAAUACUUUGUGAUGUUGAUAUUACAUCUAACAAAGUUAUCAUUCCUUGCAAAAUAAUAAUAAUAUAAAUAAUAAAAUAGACAAAUAAAAGGAAAAAUCUUAUUGAACUAUACAUGCUUUUAUAAUUUUUAUAUGAUUAAAAUCGAAUUUCAUAUUUAAUGAUUAAGACAGUUUAACUCAAAAGUCUUUUAUGUUACUUCACUCCUAAACCUUUAAGGGGCUUUCAUACUACCAAUACUAAUUAAGUCUCAGUAACACUUGAACCUAACUAUAAGAAUGAAUUUAGUCAUCAUAUCUAUGGGAUUAUCCAUUAUAGGGAUUUUUUUUUCACUGCAAUAGCACCAUGUGCAAUCACAUUCCUAAUAAAAUAACAUGAAUAUGUUUUAUCCUCUUGUAGAACAUUUGAUUCUUGAUCAAAUGUAUAAUACUUUAGCUAUCACAAUACACAAUAGCCAACUCAUGUUGUAAACCUAAAUCGCCAACCAAACCCUUAAGCUAGCCAAAUAGCUUCUUUCACUACUUCUAUAGUUGCUAUGUAUUUUGCUUCUAUUAUUGACAAAGUAAUUUAAGAUUGUAAAGUUGUUUUUCAAUUAAUAACACUACAACAAAAAGUGAAUAUAUACCCUAUUGGAGACCUUCUAUCAAAAUUUCUAGCAUAUUAAGAAUCAACAUAACCAAUAAUUAUCCUAGAAACAUCACUACUUUUAAUAUAUACUAAACCAACAUAUGAUGUUCCUCUCGAGUAUCAAAAUAUCCAUUUCACUAUUUGUCAAUGAAUCCUUUCAGGGAGAUCUUUAUAUCUACUUAUCACAUUAACUGCAUGUGAAAUGUCUAACAUAGUGCAAACUAUAAUAUAAAUAAUGCUUUCAACUACACUAGCAUAAAUACCAUGUGGUAUUUGUUCUCCCUCUGCAUUGAUUUGUAAUUAUAAAGCACUUGAAAGUUCGAACUAAGCUAUCAGUGAAGUACUCACUAGUUUUUACUCUCACGUUCCAAAAUUAAAUGUUCCAACACCUUUUCAAUGUACUUUUUCGGACUAAAUACAUUUUUUGUGCUUCUCGGUCCUAUGAUUAUACUUAAUAUUUUCUUUGUAAUUAGAUAUUUCCUUUAUAAUAAUUGAAAACUCCUUCACACAAAUAUGUCUUGUUAUAAAAUUAUUAAUUUUUUUAAUUAACUUAAAAUAAAAUGUAUGUACAUUAAGGUUUUGAACUUGAUUUUGACAUCGGAGGCCUGUUUGGCCCUUCGGGCAUUAGGUAUCGACCUUUGCCCUAAUUCCUCGUCCAUUCUUUUAGGAUCAGCAAAGUACGAAACUCACAUGCCAUUAAUUGAAUGCUCAGAAUCCACCUCAUCUAGAUCCCAUGGGUUAGAGCAUGGCCUUCUAAACAUUGCUGUAGCAGUAAUUACUUGCACUAAAUGCAUUAGUGCAAGUAAACCACAACAGCAAUGUGGGCAUGCAAAUCCUGCCUUGUAAAUAUCCAUUCACAAAGUUUCAUUGUAUGUAACACGUUUUUAACAACUAAAAUAUUUUAUUUCUUUGUUUAUUUAGUAUUGGAGAUGAAAGGGAAGAUAGGAAGGACUAGAAUGGGGUACCUUCGAGAAUUCCAGUGAAAGUUUCAGAUUUUCCACGAUUUGGAGAUGAAGUAAUCCCAUGGAAAUGUUAAUGAAAAUUCUAAGGAAGAAAAAAAAAAGUGGGAAUUAAAGAAACGAGAAAAACAUCUCCUCUAUAAAAAAUUUUCCUUCCUUUCCAUGAACACGGCAUUGCGAUGGUACGACGUCAUCCACGCAUGGCCGCCUACCACGCACUGUGUUAUUUGACUUCGUUUGAUUAUUUUAAAAGAAUGAUUUGAGUGUCCCCAUGUUAGGGUUUUGAAGGCAUGAAGGUGGACAACCAAACACAGAGAAAAAGAAGAAAAAAAAUUCACCAUCGUUAUGUAAACUGAAAGAAAUUUCCGUACAUCCCAGAUUGAAUUUCAAGUUAUUUCACAAGGACACGUCUCUCGUUCCACUGCUCUAUAAAGACAGAAUCCACCUCGUAAUGGGUCUUAUCUCAAGCCAGGAAAGUUAGACAUCCAACUAUCCAAGGCACACUUCAACUACCACUCAAACUUCCUAUCGCAACCAACAUGUCCAUUUCUGUUAAGGCAACCGUUACCGUGAAAUUAACCAUUGGAGGCUUCCUGUCGAGCUUGGUUGGGUUGAGCCAUCGGCUCGAUGAUAUAUCAAGCUUGCUCGGUAAAUCACUCCGGUUAGAGCUUGUUAGUGCAGAUCUUGAUCCUAGUAAGUAUUUUAUCAUAACUGAUCGAUUUUACAUAUGAUAGUUUCGUUGAGUUCAUGAAUCCGAGUUCGAUUUAAAAGCCGGACAGCUGCAGUUUUCUGCAGGAAGAACUAUGCAAUUGCAAUAGCCUUGCUUUGCUGCAUGUUUUUUGCCCCCUGUUUUGUUAAUAUCAAACACAUUUUCAGUCAAGAAAAUAAAAUUUAAGCAGCAUGGAAAACGGGUGCGUCAUGAAGAUCAUGCGAAGGAGGUUUAGAGCCUUCCUGACCAUGUGUUGACCCCUUACUUUUUGUUUGUUUUCUGAGAAAGCAAAAUAGAACACCCAAGAAAAAUAACAUAGAUAUAUAAAAAGUGAAAGAAGAUACACAUGAGGCCCCAGAUAGCCAAGGUAUUGAAAAAUAACAUUUUCUGUUCCUGUUUCCAAUUUCUUUUAGUCCAAUUAUUUGGUUGAAUUCUUAAAUUUUAUCAGCGGAGUACUGACAAUUUUGUUAACGAUUUUGCAAAGAUACGGGAUUGGAGAAAAAACCGAUUGGCCGGUAUGCUCAUCGAGUAGGUCAAAAGGAUGGGGAGGCUAUUUACGAGUCAAAUUUUGAGAUUCCUGGUGAUUUUGGGGAGAUAGGUGCAGUUUUAGUGCAGAAUGAACUCCGCAAUGAGAUGUACCUCAAGUAUAUAGUCCUCAAUGGCCUUCCCAGUGGCCCUAUUGCAUUCAACUGUGGUUCAUGGGUUGAGUCAAAGUUUGAUAACCCUGAGAAGAGGAUCUUUUUCAGCAACAAGGUUAGCCACCACCUUCUACACUUUUUAUAAUCUCUAAAGCAUAUCUUGACUUAAUCAUUUGCAUAUGUAUGAUCAACUAGGUUCAACCAUUAUAGAUUUCAUGAUUUGUUACCCUAUACCUCUCGUGAAGGAUAUAACUUUGAUAGCUAAAUUAUUACCUUAAACAUUUCAACUGUGGUUCAUGGGUUCAGUCAAGGUUUGAUAACUAAAUUAAUUAUUGCUAAAUUUUUCAAAAUCAUUGUUUUGACAACUGUGGUUCAUGGUGUCACUUCAUUAAAUAUCUUUGACAAAACCGCGUUAGCAGUUGCUAUUGAUUUUCAGAGGCAAUCUAAUAACUAACUUGUGGUCAUCUUUAAAAUUAAUAGAUAAAAUUUUCCACUGUUUUCUUCACAAUAUUUCUCUAUAUAGAUUUGAAUAUUUUUCUUCUCAAAUAUUAGCAUUCAGUCCCUCCCUACCUCUCUCUCUCUCUGCGUCAUGUGUUUGUCCAACUAAGCUAGUUUAAUAUGUAAGGUUGUAGAGAUGUCUCUUUAUCCCCAUGAACUUUCCAGAUGGUGUUUGUUUGCCACCUUAAAGCCUUCAUGCCUUGACCUUAAUUUCGACAACAACUAUAAUAAACCUAAAUUAAUUUAGACGACUUCUCAUUUCAUAUUUUUCUAAUACAUUCAAACCCUGACCACCGUCACCCUAAAUAUCUGUAAAUAAGGUUGGGUUGAAAUUAGCUUUGGUACUACUGAUCAUUGAAAAAUGAUGUACAUCCAUCGAAAACCUCUGCUUGGGGUUGAUAGACAUUAAAAGAUGACUUUUAAAAGCUAGUAGGGCACAACUUUAUAAAAGUAGACCUAAUUUUAUUGCUUAAAGAACAAGUACAAUUUCUUCCUAUGAAAAUUCUUUGAAUGGAUUAUUCAUAUCUAAGUUGAAUAGUCAACUAAACAAGAAAACGAUUGGCUGCCCAGUAGAGGAAGUCAAACCUAUAUAUUGAAAUGUUCGACAUCAAAGUCAUUAAUAUGAAAGUUAAUAUUAUUUUCUAUUUUUAAAAAAUAAAAAAUUUAUUUAAACGAGUACUUAUCAUUUUAUUUAUUUUUAUAUUCGACUCAUUUUUAUAAGGUAGCAUAGUAUAAAUGCAUAGUCCUGCCAUGUCAACACCAGGCUAAUGGAUACUUUCUCAUCACACACAUCCCAAUCUAUUUCGAAAGUCAUCCUCUCAAGUAUGAUGGCAUCAUUGCAACCUCAAUAGCUUAAUUCCAUAAGAAAGGAUUCAGAUGCAUGUGUCUGAAAAUGGGAAGCUGCUAAAUGUUUCCUGAUAAAAAAACAUUCCAUAUCAUUCAGCAGUGGCAUCCUAAAAGCUUAGACAAUGACGGUGACUUCAAUUUUAAAUGAACAGAAUUUUUCAUGAAGAAAAUAUAUUGCAACACCAAAUUAAAGUUUCUACUUCAUAUGAAUUUUUUCGUUGGUAUUAAGAAUGAGUUUGAAUCAUGCGAGCACCAUAACUUGAUAUCAUCAAUAUUGAAAGCAUCAUUCAUCCUAGUGACAUCUCUUAACUUCUAAGUGUUACUCAUCUUUUGUUGAUGUGGGACAGUCAUGCUUACCAUUGCAAACGCCAAGAGGCCUCAAGGGUAUGAGAGAAAAAGAGCUUGCAAGUUUGCGAGGUAAUGGUGAAGGGGAGCGCAAGACCUCCGAUAGGAUCUAUGAUUAUGGUGUUUAUAAUGAUCUGGGUAACCCUGAUAGCAAGUCUGAAUUGGGGCGACCAGUGCUUGGUGGCAGCAAGAAUUUUCCAUAUCCUAGGCGAUGUAGAACUGGACGUCCACGGUCCAAGACUGGUACGAAAACUAGAAUUCAACUCGUUCGUUUUUAAUAAGAACCUAGCAAAUCCUAGAUGAGUCAAAAAUUUAAAAAGAAAAAGAAAUGUCUUGCAACUGAUUAAUGAUUUCUAACUUAUAACACAAGGGUCAUAAUUAACCGUGAAGAGGAGGCACAUGACAAAAAUAUUUUAUCAAGAAUUGUAUCAUUCUCUUUCAUCAAAUAAGCAAUUUCCAUGAUGCAUGCAGAUCCUCAUUCAGAGACAAGGAGUGGCACCUUCUAUGUGCCAAGGGAUGAAGAAUUUUCUGAGGUGAAGGAGGCUUCGUUCAUAACGAAGACAGCAGACUCAGUGUUGCACGCAUUAAUACCUUCCCUAGAGACAUCCCUACUUGACAGUAAUCUUGGAUUUCCACUCUUCUCCGAUAUAGAUCAAUUAUACAAAGAAGGAAUCACCAUUCCCAAGCUUAAAAAUCAAGGACUUUUGCGACGUGUACUGCCCAGACUAGUGAAGGCCGUUUCUGAGGCUAAAGAUGAUAUCGUGAAAUUUGACAGCCCCGCAAUGUUUCAGAGUAAGAAAAAACCUUCACACCCCCACCUCCACUCCUGUCUCUCUCACAUACGAACUGAAGUCUUUUUGAAUUUGCAGGGGACAAGUUUUCUUGGUUUCGGGAUGAGGAAUUCUCACGCCAAACUCUAGCUGGUGUUAACCCAUAUAGUAUAAAGUUGGUUAUGGUACGAUAAGCAACUUUUAAUGAUCAUAUGUUAAUAUUAAGCAUUAAUCAACUUCACAUGCAUCAUUGGUUUACUCUUAAAUAAUUUAAUUAUUUUGCAGAAACAAUACUUUUGUGGAUAACAAAGUUCAGAAAUUAGGUUUUCGCCUAUCUGAUAAUGUAAUUCUUACAUCAUUUUUCUAUUCUGCAAAAAGCAAUUCAACAAAUUAACCCAUCAUUUUCUGUGUAUGCAUAUAGGCAUCUAUAGCAGGCAGUGAAUGGUUAUAAGAUUGUGCUAAUAAAAAUUGCGUCAAAUCAUGCAGGAAUGGCCAUUGAAGAGUGGACUGGCCCCUGAUGUCUAUGGCCCACCUGAAUCGGCAAUCACCACAGAGUUGGUUGAGCGAGAGAUAAAAGGCUUCAUGACAGUAGACGAGGUACGUACCUUUCCUCUCUCUCUCUCUCUCUCUUUCAAUCUCCCAAGGAUUAAGUUGUCUAAAUUUGGGAACAUGAACGCAGGCAUUAGAACAAAAGAAGCUAUUCAUCAUAGAUUACCAUGACUUGUUAUUACCAUAUGUGAGCAAAGUAAGGCAGAUCGAAGGGACAACACUAUAUGGCUCCAGGGCACUUUUCUUCCUAACCCCUGAUUGCACCUUGAAGCCUCUAGCCAUCGAGCUCACUCGCCCACCAAUGGAUGGAAAGCCACAGUGGAAGCAAGUUUUCACGCCCAGUUUGGAAGCUACAGGUUGCUGGCUUUGGAGGUUUGCCAAAGCCCAUUUCCUUGCUCAUGACUCCGGUUAUCAUGAGCUUGUUAGUCACUGGUACAUGUCAAACUUAUCAUUUCCCCUUUUUUCCUUUCUCAUGCGAUAUCAUUUCUAAAAACCAGUUUAUAGGGUAAACUUCAUGAAUGACAAUACAAGAACUUAACAUCUGCUUUGCUUGUUUUGCAGGUUGAGAACUCACUGUGCAACAGAACCUUACAUAAUUGCAACAAAUCGGCAACUCAGCGCGAUGCACCCAAUCUAUAAGCUAUUGCAUCCUCAUUUCCGCUAUACAAUGCAGAUCAAUGCCCUUGCUAGACAAGCCCUCAUCAAUGCGGAUGGGAUCAUUGAGACUUCAUUCUCGCCCAGCAAAUAUUCUAUGGAGCUUAGCUCUGUUGCUUAUGACCAGCUGUGGCGGUUUGAUAAGGAAGCAUUACCAGCAGACCUAAUAAACAGGUAUUCUGAUUAUUAAUAUAUAGUUACCUGAAAGUCCACUUGCUAACUUUUUGGGUUUCUUAAUUGCCAGGGGAAUUGCUGUUGAGGAUCCAACUGCUCCCCAUGGCCUAAAGCUACUGAUCGAAGACUAUCCUUUUGCCAACGAUGGUCUCAUACUAUGGGAUGCCUUAAAACAAUGGGUUGCAGACUAUGUCAAUUACUACUACAAGGACGCGAGCAUGGUACAGUCUGAUCCAGAGCUUCAAGCAUGGUGGACGGAAAUCCGAACGAAAGGUCAUGAGGACAAAAAAGAUGAACCAUGGUGGCCAGUCCUCAAAACACCAGAAGACCUCAUUGGAAUAAUCACAACUAUAGUGUGGGUGGCCUCCGCUCACGACUCAGCCGUCAAUUUUGGACAAUAUGCUUUUGCUGGUUACUUCCCCAAUAGGCCUACCAUUGCUAGAACCAAUAUGCCCUCUGAAGACCCAACAAGAGAAGGAUGGAAACGAUUUUUGGACAAUCCCGAAUUUGAACUCUUGGUAUGCUUCCCUUCACAGAUUCAAGCAACAAAAGUUAUGGCUAUUUUAGAUGUGUUAUCGAAUCAUUCUCCAGAUGAGGAGUAUCUAGGGGAGCACAUGGAGCCAGCAUGGGGUGAAGAACCAGUUAUAAAGGAAGCAUUUGAAAGGUUUUCUGCGAAGUUAAAGGAACUCGGAGUAAUUAUUGAUUCUAGGAAUGCAGACGAUAGUUUGAAGAACAGAGGCGGAGCUGGGGUGGUUCCAUAUGAGCUCUUGAAGCCAUUUUCUGAAGCUGGGGUGACAGGAAAGGGAGUUCCAUACAGCAUCUCCAUCUGAAGUACUAAUCGAUACGAUGUAACUUUUGUUGGAUCAAUAAGGAUGAAAGAAUCACAGAAAUAAUUACACGAAAGAAGUUGAAUAUUUGAAAAUUAAAAAAUUUAUUGUAUUCCACAGCUCUUUUUCAAAUAUUACAUGACAUAAUACUUUAUUCAUAAAUACAUUGAAACUUUUGACAAUAAAAAUAUAAAAUCUUCUAACACUCAACUCUUUAAAUAUAAAAUCUAAAUCAACCACACAAAAUAAAAUAAAUCUAAUUAUAAUUUUUAAAAACUUCUUAAAUCAAGUUUAACUUUUCUAACAUACCCCUUAAACUUGAUUUGUUAUUCUAAGUAUCAUACUUAAGUUUCUAAAAUCUUCAAACUUGACAAACUUUGUAAAAAUAUUCAUAAUUUGAUCACGAGACUUUACAAAUUUUAAUUGUACUUCAUUUUGUAUCAUGCACCCUUUAAUAAAAUGAUAUCUUAUAUCGAAAUGUUUACUUUGAUCAUAAAACGAAGACCGAAUUUUUUACAUUGCAAUCAUUAAUAAUUUGUUGUAUAACACAAAUCUUUGUGAUGCUUGUGGUAAACUAAACACUUUUAAAAAAAAAUCAAGUCAAAUGGCAAUGAUGUGAAAUAAGGCUUUCAAGUUACCUUUUAAAAUGUUCAAUAAAUCUCGAUUGGUUGUUUCACUAACCAAUUUUCUCACCUCAUGAAUAGAACUACAAAUACAAGAACCAUUCUUUUCCUUAAUACAAAAACUUUUACUUCCGUUUUUCACAGAGAAAACAAAAAAAAAAUGUUUUUUUUCUUGUCUUGGCUUUCUAAGGGAGAGAUCUUCUCAUAAAGAGGAAUAAAAAUAAAUAACUAAAUAAAUAAUAAUGGCAACUUCUAGGUAGUUUUAAAACUCCCAAAAACUGCUCCUCCCAUUUUCUUAUUUAUUAGGUCAAGUCAUGUCAACCCAUUUGGGUUCCUAAAUCUAACUCCAACAUCUCCCACUUGCACAAGAUGGGUUGAGAUAGUUUGAUCGAUAACAUCCAAAUCCAUUCUAUCCCACUUUUGAAAGUCGUUUAUAUAGGCAAAUGUGUCAUGUGGACAUGCGAACACACCUACAAUUUGGGAGUUAUAAACUUAUGUACCCGUUAGUGACAUAUAGUAGUUCAACCCCCAAAAUUUAUGAGCGAAUAAUAAUAAUCAUGUUUUGUUGUACUCCAAACUUAUUUAGUUAUGUUUUUAAUAUGUAUACUAACCAACAUUAUAAAUGUGUUCACAAUUAUAUCAACUAUAAAAACGAAAUAACCGAUCGAUUAUAAACACAUAUUUGUCAAUGCAACUCAAAAAGUCUUCCUUUUGAGUCCUUUUGAGUUGAUGCCUUAGGUUCAAAUUAAUUAUUUGCCCAAUAUGCCCCAUAAAGAUAAAUUAUUUCAUUUUUGUCAAAAAUAUACCAAAGUAGCAACAUUGAUUUGCCACCUUAGAACAUUGUCAAAAAUACAAAGAGUAUAAUAAUGGACUAUUAUAAUUGUAAUAAGCCCUAAGGAUCUCACACGGGAAGAAUGCAAGAAUUAAUCACUCAUUUUCCUUAUUAGUCAUAUUCAAACACAUGUAGUAUGAAAUACAUGCUAUGAUGGUUUCUCUCCACUUAGAGAGUGUAAGUCAAACUACCACUAUACGAACCUCAACUAAAAGCUUUACACCAAUAGCUUGUUCGAGUUUGACAUUUAUAGUUCUUCUUAAACCUUUUAUGCUAAAACUCAAAUUCAAUUCAAAUAAACAAAUGUAAUCGUAGACGAUUACGUUUGGUCAAAAUGUCAUUUAUUAUAGCCCUCAUCUUGAUACUUAAUCAAAUCAACAUUCAAUAUCUUUAUAUAAUUUUCACUCAUUUAUCGUCAUUAGUAUGUUAUGUCUCAUCCUAACUCAUAUUGACUGGGGCAAUUGCUCGUGUGAGAAAGGCAACCUCUAUCUAUUAACAUACAUUUAAGAGCAUAUAUGUGUAAGUACCAAUUACAUAUUUAAUGAUAUGAAUCACAAAUCCUCAUAUCAUUUUAUCAUGUAUAGUGUAUCUUAUACCCAAUCAAUAAUGAUCUAUGACAUAUGAUCAACAUAAACCAUAACCUAGAUAGUUCUAACGACUUUACAUAUAAAAUAAAAAUAAAUAAAUAAAAACAAGUUUCUUGGAAUGGAUUUUGUGAAUGGAUCAACAAUCAUUUCAUAGGUAAGUAAAUAUUCAGGAUCACCUCUUUUUUUGCAAUAAUAUCUCUUUUUAAAAUUGUUCUUGGUAUCUAUAUGUUUAGUCCUUCCAUAAUAUUUUGGAUCCUUUACAUAAUGAAUAUUCGUAGUUUAACUGUCAUUAUAAAUUGGCAUUGACUCAAAAACAUCUAUGAUUAUUCCUAACCUUUGCCCAAAAAAAAAAAAACUUCCUAACCAUAUAGCUUCAUAUACUAUAGUUGAAUAAACAAUAAAUUCAACUUUCAUGAUUGACAAAGCUAUAUAAGUUUGUUUCUUCAUUAGUUGGUACCAUUAUUAAGCAAGAAUGUAUAUUCAGAUAUUGAUUUGCUCUCAUCUAGAUCACCUGCCUAAUCAACAUCCGAAUAUCUCACCAAGCAUAAUUUUUUACCUUGAUAAUAAAGAGAAUAGUCCAUAGUGCCUUUUAGAUACCCAAGAAUUCUCUUUACUCUUUUCCAAUGAAUCAUUUCAAGAUUUUCUUGGUAGUAUCUAAUCAUCCUAACAACAUAAGAGAUGUCUAGUAUUGCACACAUUGUAGCAUACACUCUCAACAGCACUAAAGUAGGGAACAUUAAUUAUUUUCUCUUUUUCUUUUAAAGUCUUUGGACUCAUUUCUUUGCUUAGAUUUUCACCUCUUGCAAAUGGAUUAGUGUCAAUGGGAUUGCAAGCUUACAUAUUAAAUCGUUCAAGGAUAUUCUUAAUAUAGUGUUUUUGUGAAAGAGCCACUAUUUUGCAAGAAUGAUCUUUAUGGAUCUUUUCCCCAAGAGUGAAAGAUGUUUCUCCCAUAUCUUUCAUCUCAUGAAAAUAGAUGACAACCAUCUUUUAAUGGUUUGGAUGAAUACCAAAUCAUUUCCAAUUAUCAAUAUAUCAUCCACAUAUAAAGAUAAUAACAUAUAUUUAUCUUUAUGUCACUUAAUAUAAGCAUAAUGGUCUUCAUCAAUCAUUGUGAAAUCAUACGAAGUUAUUGCAUAAUGAAAUUUCAAGUACCACUGCCAAUUGGAUGAUUGUUUAAGGCCAUAAAUCAAUCAAUUUAAUCUACACACUUUGUGUUUUUGGCCUUAGAUAAUGAAACCCAUUAGUUGUUCCAAAUAAAUUUCUUUAUUAAACUCUUCAUUAAAGAGAGUUGCCUUAACAUCUAGCUCUAAAUCCAUAUAAGCUACUAUAGCUAAAAUAAGGUGAGUCAAGGCAAACCUAACUACUAAAAAGAAGGCUUCCUCAUAAUUUAUACCCCUUUGUUAAGUAUAACCUUUAACAACUAGUCAAACUUUAUAUAUAUUUUUCAAUGGAUCCAUCUGCCUUUCAUUUUAUCCCAUUUGUUCCCAAUAACAUUUCAAUCCAAAGGCAAAUCUACAAAAUCUGAGACUUGAUUCUUUUGCAUUGACUUCAAUUCCUCUUCCACUACUUUUCUCCAUUCAUCCUUAAUUGGACAAGUAAGAGCCUUAUGAACUGACUUAGGUUCAACAUCAUCAUAUUGAGUUACAAUAUGAACUUCUCCUUUAAUUUCAAAUCAUCAUCAAGGAAUAAUUUUGUGGAGAACUUUUUCUCAAUAUCAAAUCUCUUACUACACUCACUACAAGUACUAGUUCACUUCCACUUGAUUCAAUUGUUGUUUGAGUGUGAAUCUUAUGUCAAGAUCCAUUAUUUCAUACAGAUGUAAAUUCCUAUCAAUCUCACAUGUACAUGGGAAAUCAUCCUCUAAGAAUGUGACAUUUUAUGAUUCGAAUGCAAUUAUUGUUUCAUCUUCAUGUUCACUUAUGAAUACAUACCCUUUGGAGUGUUCAGUGUAUCUUAUAAUGAUACAUUUCCUUUUUUUAUGACCUAAUCUUUCAUAUUUAUGAGAACGAUUAUAAACAUAAGCCACUAACCCCCAAGGUCGCAAAUUGCUAGGAUUAGGUUUUCAAUUAUUCCAUAACUCAUAUGGAGUAGAUGCAACAAACUUUAAGGGUACUUAAUUAAGUCAAUGAGUAGCAGUCAACAAUACAUCUCUCCAUAACAAAAUAGGAAGAUAUGCUUGAGCCAUCAUUGACCUAACCAUAUUCAACAACAUUCUACUCCUCCUCUUAGCAAUACCAUUUUAUUGUGGAGUCCCAAGAAUAGUCCGUUGUCUACUAAUACCAUUUUCAUCACAUAAAUAUCUAAAUUGUUCUUAUAGAUAUUCUCCAUCCCGGUCUGUUCUUAAUAUUUUAAUCCUUUUGUUCAACUGAUUUUCAACUAAAUUAAUGUAGCGUCUAAAACAAUCUAAUGCUUCUAACUUAUGAGAAAUCAAAUAAACAUGACUGUAACGAGUAAAUUCAUAUAUAAAUAUGAUGAAGUAGAAAUAGAAUACAUCAUAUAUAAAUAUAAAUUGCACGAUUAUGUGUUAUAAGAAGACCAAGGGUAUGGUCACAAUUAUUGUAAUCAUAAGAGUGUGAGAGAAAAAGAGCAAAGGAAAAAAAUAGCAAACUGAGGGUGCGAUUGCAAUGACAUUAAUCCUAGGAAUAAGAAAAUAUUAAGAAAUUUGAGGGUAUGGUCAUAAUGAUUAUAAUCUUGGGAAUAAAAAAUAGAAAAUCAACGGAUAGAGAUAGAAAAUUAAAGGAAAGAAAUAGAAAAUCGAGAAUCGAUUAUGACUAUUAAAAUCUAAAGACCUAUAUGAAACUAAUAAGGUAUGGUUACAAUGAUCGGAAACACAAUCUCAAUUAUUGAAGACUAGGAAAGAUUGAAAGUACAACCAUGAUGAUCAAAGCUAGGAAACACUAAAGAUAUAGUUGUGAUCAUUGAAACUAAUAAGAUGCAAAUGUAAUGAUCGAAGGCUAAUAAAAUGUGGUUACAAUUACCAAAGUGCAUGUGAUAAGAUAUGGUUGCAAUGACCAGAACUAAUAGAAAUGACUAACAAGGAUGAAAGACAUCAAUAAACCAACUAUUGAAAAAACAAUAAAAACAUAUUAUGAAUUACUUCAAACCCAUUAAGCACUUUGGGAUAUGUUUUACCAUCAAAAGGAAAACGAGUCCCAUCCCCAUUAUGAGAAAAGGAAAAUUACACCAACACUUGCUAAGGUAUAUGAUAAUUACAGCAAGUGUAUAUGAUAAUUACAGUUCAAGUACCUUAAGGGUAGUGUAAAUCCCAAGGAAGCAUGUAGAGUCAAAUAUCAAGAAUGAAUAAAACAAGAUUACUAACUUAAAUUAAGGUUAUAUUUGGUUCCCGUUUGAUUGAAAAUCUGAGGGAAAAAAUGAAUAGGAAAAGUAUGUAAAAAAAAAGUAAAGAAAAAUAAAAAAUAAAUUUAAAAUUAAUAAAUUAUUUUUAUAUACUUUUUCAAACUAAUAAUGAAAAUUUCCAUAUAUAUGGCCGACUUUGAUAUAUUGAAUAAGAGAAAUUUCAGAAAAUAUCGUCAUAUUUCACCGAUAUAUUGGUAUUUGCUGAUUUUUGGAUGAUAUUUCACGGAUUUUUUGACGAUAUUUAUGGAAAAAUCGCCAACUAUUUCCAUUUCUCUUUUUGGUUCAAAAAUCAUAAACUGGGCUCAGCCCAAAAGCCCACAUAGACGAACUGUCAGCCCAGCACGCUUUCCGUGCUUGGGAGUGUCCCAUGACUCACGCUCACAAAUACCCCCACUACCAGUCGACCAACCACGCUGUAUGUUAUAAACUGAAAUUUUUUUAUAUAUUUUUACAUUAUAAACCAUAUAUAUAUGUGUGUGUAUAUUAUAAAUUAAUUAGAAUAAAAUUAUUAUAAAUAAAUUAAUUUUGGUUAUUGUGUUUUUUAUAUAAUAAUUAAAUACAAAAUAAAUAUAAAUUUAUGAAUAAAAUUAUCAAAAUUUUAAAAUAAAAAAUACUUAUACAAAUUAUUAUCAUUUCUUUGAUAUCAUUAAAUAUAUCCAAAUUAGAUGAAUAUGCAUAAAGUAUAUUUUCAAGUUAUGAACAUUAUUGUUAAAUAUCACCACUUAUAUUUUACAUAUAUCAAUUUUUUUAACAAAACAACCUUAAUAUUUAUAUUAUUAUUUUUCAUAUCAUUUUUUUAAUUGUUGACAAUAUUUUGAUGAGUUUUGAUCAAUUUUUUACUCAUCUAUAUUUUAUAUCAAAAUAUCCACCUAUAUAUCCGUAAAAUCAAAGUAUCGAUACAUCCGAAAUUAUCAAUAUUUUCAUCCUUACUUCAAAACAUUUCACUUAUUUUUCUCUAUUAUAUAAAUAUUAAAUAAUUUUAAAAUGAGGAAAUUUUUAACUUAUUAAUUAUAUUGAUUUUAUUUUGUAUUUUUCAUAAUAAAACUAAACAUUAGAAAACUAUUUUUCUUAAUAUAUUUUUUUUCCUUAUUACUUUCCAACCAAACAUAGCCUAAUUUAUUAAGAAUAUGAAGAGGCAAUAACUGAUCUUCCUGCAUUCAAGACUGCAUAUCUUUAUUACCCUGAUUCGAAUUUCACAUUUUACAUUGUUUUGCAACCAUAAAAUGAGUUCAAAACUUCACUCCCAAAGCAUUUCAUUGUGACUUCAAAUGGAGAUACUGUAUGGAACUCCCUUUCCUGUCACACCAGCUCCAGAAAAUGGCUUCAGAAGCUCAUAUGGAACCACUCCAGCUCCGUGUCUGUUCUUCAAAUUCUUGUCUUCAUUCCUAGCAUCAAUGAUUCCUUCAAUUUCUUUCAACCUUCCAGAAAACCGUUCAAAUGCUGCCUUUAUUAAGGGAUCUGCACCCCAUGCUGGCUCCAAAUGCUCCCCUAGGUAUUCCUCAUCUGGAGAAUGACUUGAUAACACAUCUAAAACAGUCAAAACUUUUGCUGCUUGAAGCUGUGUAGGCAGGCAUGCCAAGAGUUCAUUCUCAGGUUUGUGCAAAAACCGGCGCCAUCCUUCUUCAGUUGGGUCCUCAGAAGGGAGGUUGGUCCUGGCAAUAGUAGGCCUAUUGGGGAAGUAACCAGCAUAAGCAUAUUGUCCAAAGUUGACGGCAGCAUGGUGCCCAGACGUUACCCAUACCAUAGUUGUGACAAUCCCAAUUAGGUCUUGGGGUGUUUUGAGGUCUGGCCACCAUGUUUCAUCUUUCUUGUCCUCAUGGCCUCUUGUUCGGAUUUCAGUCCACCAUGCUUGAAGCUCUGCAUCAGACUUCACCAUGCUCGCAUCCUUGUAGAAGAAAUUGACAUAAUCGGUAACCCAUUCUUUUAUGGCAUCCCACAGGAGGAGACCAUCAUUGGCAAAAGGAUAAUCUGGGAUUGCUAGCUUUAGGCCAUGUGGAGAACUUGGGUCCUCAACAGCAAUUCCCCUGGCAUUACCAAAACAAAAUUGUUAAUUAGCAAGGAGACUCGGUAGGAAUUGAAUCUGUUUUAGCCCUCUCUUCCUCACAAAUAAACCAUUAGUUUAUCAUCUAGGAAACGGCCAACAAUGUAAAUCAACUAGUAUUAGUACUCUAAUGACCAAAAGAGAGCAUAAUGACAAAAUCGUUUUAGGGCAACUAUGACCAAGAGUGAAUUCACCGAUUAGUAUAAGUACGAUAUUGCAAGCUUGCCCUCAAAAAUUUAUAUUUGCCAUAAGUAGGAUAACUUGGGGGAUUCUGGCUUAAUAUGUACCUGCUUAUUAGGUCUGCUGGCAGUCCUUGUGUAUCAAAGCGCCACUGCAGGCCAUAGGCAGCAGAGCUGAUCUCAGUAGAAUACUUUCCGGGUGUGAAUGCGGACUCAAUGAUCCCAUCAGCAUUGAUGAGAGCUUCUCGAGCAAGAGCAUUGAUCUCCAUUGUGUACCGGAAAUGAGGGUGUAACAGUCUAUAGAUUGGGUGCAUUGCACUAAGUUGUCGAUUCGUUGCAAUUAUAUAAGGUUCUGUUACACAGUGAGUUCUCAACCUGCAAAAAUAAGCAAAGGAGGUCUCAUGUUAGCUCACCGACAUUCAUGAAGCUUAGUCUGCAAAAAACUUCUCUGAAAAUGUUUUCCAAAGAGAAGUGGAAAAAAAUGAAGAAAUAAAUUAAAGAAAAAAAAUUGAUAAGUUUGUUUUAAGUGCAAAUAAUUCUCCAGGCAUUAUUCUGAGAAGAAAUGAAAGGCAAUGGCAUUUACCAGUGACUAACAAGCUGGUGAUAACCAGCGUCAUGAGCAAGGAAAUGAGUUUUAGCAAGUUUCCAGAGCCAGGAACCUGUGGCUUCCCAGCUAGGCGUAAACACUUGCUUCCACUGCGGCUUCCCAUCCAUGGGUGGUCGGACGAGUUCGAUGGCCAGCGGCUUCAAUGUGUUAUCAGGGCCUAGGAAGAAAAGUGCCCUUGAUCCAUACAGCGUUGUCCCUUUGAUUUGCCUUACUUCGCUCACGUAUGGCAAUAAGAUGUCAUGAUAAUCUAUGAUGAACAGCUUCUUUUGUUUUAGUGCCUGCAUUCAUUCAUGUACUCACUUUUACAUAGUUCAACUGGGAGAAUGAUAAAGAGGAAGAAGAGACAAAGAAGAGAAGUACAUACCUCAUCAACGGUCAUGAAUCCUUUGAUCUCUCGCUCGACUAUCUCCGUGGUGAUUGCAGAUUCAGGGGGACCAUAGAUCUUAGGAUCGAGUGUGCUCUUCAAUGGCCAUUCCUGCGUGAUUUAAUGCAACUCUUUUGUCAUACAUGGAAACUGAUAAGUUCAUUGUAAUAUACAUCAAGCUAGAGUGAUUAAUAUUUAACAAUAUAUGAUCCUGAAGCAAAUUGAUCAUUUUCAUACCUUAACCAAUUGUAUACUAUAUGGAUUGAGACCGGCAAGAGUCUGGCGUGAGAACUCCUCAUCCCUAAACCAAGAAAAUUUGUCCCCUGCAAAUGCAAAAACACAUGAGAUUGAGAGAAGUCUUAAAAAGGGAGUAUAGAUCUUGAUGAGUAAAGGUCUUUUUCUUACUGAGCAACAGUUGAGGGGUUUCAAAUUGCAGGAGACUAUCUGUAGAAUUAGUGAUGGCCCUCACUAGUCUGGGCAGUAUAUCUUGCAAAACCUUAUGCUUUUUAAGAUUAGGAACAUUGAUUCCUUCAUUGUAUAACUCGUCUAUUUUGGUGAAGAGUGGAAAUCCAAGACUAGUGUCUGUAAUCACUGACUCUAUUGCCGGCACCACAGCGUGCAACGCUGAGUAUAACGUAUUUGUAGAGAAUGUUAGCUCCUUCACGUCCGAAAAUGCUUCGUCCCUUGGCACAUAGACGGUUGAACUCCUUGUCUCUGCUUUCGGGUCUGCAUGUAUCGAUGGCGGUUGCCCAUAUGAGUAAAUUAAGUUUAAAUCAAACAAUUCUGAAUGUACAUAUUUUGUUGUCAAAGUUUAAGUUUAAGUUCUGAUUCUCGUACCAAUCUUAGACAUUGGACGCCCCGUUCUACAUCGUCUUGGGUAGGGAUACUGCUUGCUACCACCAAGUACCGGUCGAGUCAGUUCAGGACUGCUGUCUGGAUCACCCAGAUCAUCGUAUACAUCAUAGUCAUAGAUUCUAUCAUAUGACUUGCGCUCUCCUUGACCAUUACCUCGCAAGGUUACAAGCUCUUUUUCUCUUAUUUCUUUGAGUCCACUUGGUGUUUCCAAUGGUAAGUAUGACUACACAAAACACAGAUAAGUAGAUUAAAUCCUAAAAAGUACGAAACAUCAUGGAUGAAUGAGGUAUUGAAACCUCAUAAUAAUCAUUUUCAUAAUACUUUAACUGUCGAAUAUUUGAAAAUCAAUUAUAAAUAUCAAAUCUUAAAAAUCCGGCUUGUAAAUAUCAAAAAUGAUUUAAAAAACUUAACUAGUUUUGUGGUUCAAUGAGCAGUGCUGGUUACUUUCGAAAGCAUGGUUAUAAGAUCAUGUUUGGAUGUAUUAACCGAUUUGAGGACUACUUCCAUACACUUGUGAGGACUACUUCCAUACACUUGUGAGGUAUUAGCCAUUAGAUUGACUUUUGUAUCUUCUUAUUCUUCUCAUCUAUCCAGCUUUUGAAAGCAACCAUUACUGCCUGUGGAGCCACACGCCUUGAUUUUGUUCCACAGACAUAUCGCUCUACCUAUUGCCUAAGCCUUGACUCCAAUAUCCGGCUACCUCCACCAUAUCAACAUCGGUGUAGGCAGAAAAUGUGUCACACCAAUAUUUGUGGCAAAUAAUAAUAAUAACUUAGGAGGUAUAAGAUAAAAUUUAAUAUUUAUUGUUUAAUUAUAAUCUAAAUUAAAUUUAAAUUAAAUUAUAUUUAAAUUUAUUAACUUUUACUUAUUUUAUAAAAUUAACUUAAAAUUUAUUUUAUAUCAUCAAAUUGACAUAUUUAUUUUUAUAAAUUAUAAUUAGAAUAAAAAAAGUUGAAUAACAACCUGAAAUAAUAAUAAAAAUUGAUAAAAUGAUUAAGACAAAUGGAGGUAAAAAAAUAAAAUAAAAAUAUAAACUUAAAAUAAGCUAAUUAUUUCUACUUAUUAUUUAAAAUUAUUUUUUAUUUUAAGUCAUAUCAUUAUAUUAUUUUACUAAACAUACUUAAUUUAGUUACUGAUUUAAAAUUAAAUUAUUAAAUCACUUUAAACUACUAAUUUGAUUUAUCAACACCUAUUUAAUAAAUGAUUUGAACUUAUUUUUAAUUUGAAUGGUUGAUAUUAUAAUUAAAUGAUAUUAAGUUAUAAUAAAUAUAUAUAUUAAUACAAAAAGAAUUAAAAAAAAAAAAAAAAAAGCUUCUUGAUUAAUUUUUAUUCUCCAAUUAAAAGUGGCUUUUGAUAUCACAUAAAAAUAAAAAAAAAUAAAAAAGCGCACACACACACACACCAAAAAAUGGGACAUCAAAAGGACUGAUUCAUUGUGGCUUGUGGUCCUGAGGAGACCCUCUGAGAGAAAAUUAUGGGAAAAAUAGUGGUUUUGUAAAGCCGGAUCCAAUCAAAUAAACGGACUCCGACUCAUCACUGAAAAUGAAAAGAAAACGAAGCAAAAGAAGAAUCAAAGCUAGAUUGAAAAGUAGUAGAAAGGACGAAGCAUGUGAUAAGUGUCACUUGAGGGCCACCCGAUGGUGAAAUUAAAGCCUUGGGACCAGUUUCGCUUUAACCUGUCCUACACAGAUUUUUAGGGACCAUAUGUUCGAACCAACAGAGGUAUUCGAUGGAAUUAAAGAACAUUUAAAUUCAUGAGAGGUUGUGGAACAGAUCCGAAAGAAAAAAAAAAACUGAGAUUUUUAAAACAAUUCAUUAAAAUCCUUCAAUAUUUUCAAAAAUAGUUAUCUAAAACGAUUUUGGGUAUGUUUGAUUGUUGUUUUUGAAAACUAUUUUUUGAAUAUUUAAAAAAAAGAAAAAAUUGUAUUUGGAAACUGAAUUCUGAAAAACAGUUUUUAUUUUCAAAAACAAAAAAUAUAUAUUUGAUUAAAUUAAUAAAUAAAAAGUUUAGAAUAAGUAAAACAUAAAAUAUGUUUUAAAAUUAUUAUUUUUAAUUCAUAAAGUGUUUUCUUCCAUUAACUUGAUAUUAUAAAUAUAUAAAUAAUCUUCGGAUGCACAAUUUAUUUAAAUUAAAAAAAAUUAUUUUAUUUUAAAAUUUUUACACCAAUUAUAAUUUUCUUAAAUAAAUGAUGACUUUAUUAUUAUAUAUAAGUAUAUUAAUUUCAAUAAUUUAAGAAAGAAGAAAAGGUUUACUGAUGGGGUGUGAUGGUUGGGUGGAACUCACCUUUGUAAAAACAUAAAAACAACUAAGAAAACACAAAAAGAAAUAAAAGAAAAUACGAAAAACAAUCUAUUUUUUGAACAAUAAAAAUAUUUUUUUUAUUGUUCUUGAAAAAGUGAUUUUUGAGAACACAAAAAACAAAAACACAUCCCCUUCUUCAAACAAAUUUUUUAUGUUUUUUGUUUUUAAGAACAUAAAACAAUUCUUGAAAACAAGAACCAAACCGACCUUUUUAUUCUUAAAAAAAAAAUAAACUAUUUUAAAAAAUUUUCUUUUAAUAUUGUUUAGUUUAUUUCAUUUAUUUUUUGAGAUCGAUUUUAAAAAAUAAGUAUAUACACGUAUAAAAUUAUUAAAAAUAAAAUAUUAAAUUUAAAAUUUAUUUUUAAAUUAUUAAAAACUAUGUUAAAACCAUUUCAGGUUUUUAAAUAAAUUUUUAUUUUAUAAAAUAUAAAAAAAAAUGUUGUAAAAAAUUAUUUUUCAAAACUCUUUCCGUUUUAAUUAAUCUGGAGUCGUGUAGCACCAUGAAACAUAGGGUAAAAAAAAUUAUCAAUGCAAGUAAUGAAGAUGGUUGAUGGCUAAUUACCUUGUUGGUGAAGAAGACCCUCUUCUGAGGGUCAUCAAACUUGGAAGCAACCCAUGAACUACAGUUGAAUUCAAUGGGGCCAUUUGGGAAGCCAUCAAGGACUAUGUACCUCAGGUACAUCUCCUUGUGGUGCUCAUUCUGAACAAGAACCGCACCAAUCUCCCCAAAAUCAUCAGGAAUCACAAAGUCUGAUUCAUAUGUUACUUCCCCGUCCUUUUCGGCAGCCCGAUGAGCAUAUGCGCCGAUGGGUUUCUUCUCUAAGCCCGUCUCUUCACAAAAAUCAUUAACGAAAAUAUCAGUACUUAAUCAGUGGAUUUUACAGUUCUAACAAACAGGCGAAAGAGCAUUUGAUAGAGAAAAGAAUAUGUGGAAAAGUGUUUUGUCUUUUCAGCAUUAUCAAUUGCUCUGAAAAUGGAGGUAUGAAAUCAACACCAGCCUAUAGUAUAGAAUUUAGGUAUGGUGAAAUACUUACUGGGGUCAACCUCUGAACUGACGACCUCCAAGAGGAGUGUUUUACCAAGCCAGUCAGAUACAUCAUCGAGCCCAUGGCUCAACCCUAUCAGGCUAGACAAGAACCCUCCAACUGUUAAUUUCACAGUAACAGUGGCCUUAACAGAUACGGACUUCCGGGUAUCAGUAUCACUAGCAACUGCUUUAAUGUUGGCAGGGACGUAGCCAACCCUAACAUUCCUGUACUUUUUUCGGAAUUCCGGCCUCGGCCUGACGGAAAAUGAAGCAGUUCCGGGGCCGGGAAUGCACGGUUUGUUCAACAGGAAGAAGGUCGGGGCAGUGUGUGACUGGUGGACCUGAGUCUUGAACAUAUCUCCAGCAGGGAGAAUGGUAGAUGAAAGGCUUAAUUCGCUUUAGGUAUGAAAUCUCUGGGGGCU